This is a long non-coding RNA of Nematostella vectensis (starlet sea anemone), 2080 nucleotides long. RefSeq lists it as uncharacterized. The transcript is spliced from 2 exons. The record is from RefSeq and is a predicted model, not a curated record. Lineage: Eukaryota; Metazoa; Cnidaria; Anthozoa; Actiniaria; Edwardsiidae.
GGAGUUUGUUCUGCAGGUUUCAAGAUGACCACAUUACCACAAGCCAGGGCUGGAGCGAUUUUCACAGAUGCCAUGUUGAGAGGGAAGUUCCAUGGGGUGAUUGCACCCACUAGACCCACAGGCUCAUGUCGAGUGUACACAAACAGGGAUGGUCUUGCCCGUGACCUUAUCCGCCCAGCCAGCAUAGUAUCGAAAGCAAUUAGCACUUGACUGCAUAUCACCGACUGAGUCAGAGAAUAGCUUGCCACUGUCAAUGGUCUCAAGACUCUGAAAGAAAAAUUCACAAUGACGACACACAUUCCUAUAUAGUGAAGACUGAGAGAAGUAAGAAUGCCUAGAGAGUGAGAUAUGAGAGUGAAUUGUCAUUCUUCCUUCUCCAUUCAUUGAAGUGCCUCAUUAGAGGUUCUGUUGGUGCAAAUUUUCUGUUUUUUCUUGGUUUUGCAUUUUCAUUUCCUUCCAUUUUAUCCUUUGCCAUGAUUAACAUUGAUCAGAAAAUGUUUGGCUUGGUGACUAAAUAUAAAAAAUUGAGAAAGGAAUUAGUUCUUUACUCCAAUGUUUUAAUAGUGACAAUUGCAGAAAACUAUUGUGAUUCAUAUUCUAGCAGCCAACAAUGAGUACACAUUUUUAUGAAAAUUGAUUUUUCUGGAAUCACACAUAUAAAGGGAUCACACAAUUGCACACAUAAUGAUUAUGUAAGUAGCAAUGGUAGAACCUUAUUGUUUUUGGCAGCUAAACUUACAGCAAGGUAGGCAAUAUCCCUGUCAAUAAGCUGUGCUAAUUUGUACAGUAAUUUGCCUCUCAUGGAAGCAUCCAUUGUGCGCCAGGCACUGCCCAACUUAAAGGCCUCUUUGGCUGCUUUCACAGCUUUAUCGACAUCCUCCUACAACAAAAAUAGUAAUUGAGAAUUGAAUGACAUAUAUGAAACAAGCGGGUAAACCGACCAAAAAAAGGAAUCACAGACACAACAAAAAAUAUACAUAAAUUUCUAACCUUAUCUCCUUCUGAGAUGUCACAUAUCUUUUCUCCAGUUGUUGGAUUGAUUGUUGGAAAAACCUUACCGCUGGUGCAGUCAACAAACUCAUUGUUAAUAAACAGCUGCAAAGGUAAAAAAAAACAGUGAUUAGUUUGCAGACAGUGUAAAUUAUUGGGCAGGGUUGAAGCAGGGUAAAGUCAGAUGCGUUAAAACAUGCAUCACUAUUAAUUAGCUAUGCAGGUGGGGGUUGAUUUGAGGCUGACACUAAGGGUCAUUAAUUAUUGGGGAGGGCUGCUAAGUUGAAUUUUUUUUGGUUCAAAAAUUUGGACCCUCACCCCACCCUGGUUCCAGAGCCUCGUGUAUCUCUCUAUUUAGUGGCCAGUGAGGUGGCCACUGAAUAGAGACGCUCGAGGCUCUGGGACCAGGGUACCCUCUACCCAAUCUAAAGCACUAAAAUGGUGACUCUUAUGCAUGCCCAUGAAGGGGUGGCAGAACUGGCUAAGCCAGGAAGACUGUUGAUAGGAAGACUGUUGAUAGGAAGACUGUUGAUAGGAAGACUGUUGAUAGGAAGACUGUUGAUAGGAAGACUGUUGAUAGGAAGACUGUUGAUAGGAAGACUGUUGAUAGGACGACUGUUGAUAGGAAGACUGUUGAUAGGAAGACUGUUGAUAGGAAGACUGUUGAUAGGAAGACUGUUGAUAGGAAGACUGUUGAUAGGAAGACUGUUGAUAGGAAGACUGUUGAUAGGGAGACUGUUGAUAGGAAGACUGUUGAUAGGAAGACUGUUGAUAAGAAGACUGUUGAUAGGAAGACUGUUGAUAGGAAGACUGUUGAUUUUGAGCCCACAUUUCGGGGCUGUAGUUUUGUAUUGGGGGGUCUGGGGACAUGCUCCCCCAUAGAAAUUUUGCCAUUUUCAAACAUUUGGAAUGCUCAUUGUUAAAACCUAAAUAGAAAACAGUAUCAUUACCUCCUCCCCAACUGAAAUCUUAUUUGCAUAUCUUUUUUUAUAUCAUCAGUCUGAGAGGUUAGUGGGGGGGGGGGGGAACUUUGACAUGAAUGGAAUUUGUAAAUUCAUGUUAUUAUAAUAAAACCAUAACAAAACCAAAA